RNAcentral lists this ribosomal RNA (632 nucleotides) under uncultured picoeukaryote. RNAcentral's name for it is "partial 16S ribosomal RNA". It matches the Rfam family "Bacterial small subunit ribosomal RNA", at positions 886 to 1482 of the family's 1533-position model. The record is from RNAcentral.
CCGCAAGGCUAAAACCCAAAGGAAUUGACGGGGGCUUACACAAGCGGUGGAGCAUGUGGUUUAAUUCGAAACAACGCGCAAAACCUUACCAAUCCUUGACAUAUGAAAAACCAGGGUGUUUACCCGCUCUGUCUCUUUUAUACAGGUGCUGCAUGGCUGUCGUCAGUUCGUGGUGUGAGCUGUUGGGUUAAGUCCUAGAACGAACGCAACCCUCCUUUGAAAUGAAGGUUUACCUUUUUCAAAGACUGCCAAGGAUAUCUUGGAGGAAGGUGAGGAUGACGUCAAGUCCGCAUGGCCCUUAUGGGUUGGGCUACACACGUGCUACAAUGGGAAUGACAAAAGGAGGCAACAUGGCAACAUUGAGCAAAUCCCAAAAAGUUUCCUUAGUUCGGAUUGUUCUCUGCAACUCGAGAACAUGAAGUUGGAAUCGCUAGUAAUCGUAGAUCAGCACGCUACGGUGAAUUUGUAUCUAAGCCUUGUACACACCGCCCGUCACACUCUGAAAAUUUUCAUGCCUUGAAGCAAAAGAAGUUCACCAAGAACACACAGCGCAAUUAAAAAAAAACAUCUUCCCUUUUUUUUUCUGUGUCUUUGUUGGAACCUUUUCUAGAGUUAGGGAGGUGAUUGGAGUG